Molecule: long non-coding RNA, 2645 nt
Organism: Physella acuta
Lineage: Eukaryota; Metazoa; Mollusca; Gastropoda; Physidae
Source: RefSeq, a predicted model, not a curated record
GCCAGUGUUGGAUCACAACAUCGGUCCAACACAGGCAAUGGUGGAGGCUGGUUAGGUCAGCGCUACUGGAUACAAGUCUCUGGAUACAAGCUGCUGGAUACAAGGCCUGGAUACAAGUCGCUGGAUACAAGUCGCUGGAUACAAGCUGCUGGAUACAAGGCCUGGAUACAAGUCGCUGGAUACAGGCUGCUGGAUAUAAGACCUGGAUAUAAGACCUGGAUACAAGGCCUGGAUACAAGCUGCUGGAUACAAGGCCUGGAUACAAGUCGCUGGAUACAAGUCGCUGGAUACAAGUCGCUGGAUACAAGUCGCUGGAUAUAAGACCUGGAUACAAGGUCUGGAUACAGUGCCUCACGUGCCGGCUGUUGAAGUUGCGGUCUGCCAACUGAGGUGGUGUUUCUCACUCAACUUGCUGACCAGUGACUCUUCACCUGCUGACCAGUGACUCUUCACGUGCUGACCAGCGACUCUUCACGUGCUGACCAGCGACUCUUCACGUGCUGACCAGUGACUCUUCACUUGCUGACCAGUGACUCUUCACUUGCUGGCCAGUGACUCUUCACCUGCUGACCAGUGAAUCUUCACGUGCUGACCAGUGACUCUUCACGUGCUGACCAGUGACUCUUCACUUGCUGACCAGUGACUCUUCACCUGCUGACCAGUGACUCUUCACCUGCUGACCAGCGACUCUUCACGUGCUGACCAGUGACUCUUCACCUGCUGAUCAGUGACUCUUCACGUGUUGACCAGUGACUCUUCACGUGCUGACCAGUGACUCCUCACUGACUACAAAAACUCAUCUGAAAGAAAUCUUACAUAUCACGUGAUAAACAGUGAGAAACGACACAUUGAUGGCAAGAAACUUGACACAUUGAUGACAAGAAACUUGACACAUUGAUGGCAUGGAACCUAAAAGACCUCUGGAUACCUUAGUUCUAGCUUUGUUAGUCUCAGUUAUGAACAACAUCUCUACUGGGCUGGAGUUGGGGACACCCCUGAACAACACUUCUGCUUGUUUGACCAGCGAUCUCAAUGAUCAUGCCCGUAGCGCUGAAGCAUUCGACGCCUUGGUGUACAUAGUCGUGGUAAUUCUGGUCUACUCUAGCGCUAUGGUGUUGAUGGUCAUCAAAUAUCUGAGGGGGAAAAAAGGAGAAGACCUGAGCUCUUACUUUCACACAAAUUCAAAAAACGGAGCCGUAUUUCAUGUGUAGCCAACGGAAUCUUCUGUGCUGCGUUUUGUAGGCCGAAUCAGCUCUUGGCAGGAUUCACCGUUUUGACUGAAUAUGGUCCAUUCUAGGUAUUUAGGAAGACCAAAAGAUGGCAGAAUGAAUGUUUUUAACAUUGCCCUGUGCAAGUUUAGUGAACAUUGUCACAUGAUUGUCAACAGACACGAAAGGUUGUUUGUUUUGUCCACACCACAUUUCAAAACCAAAAUCUACUUGAAACUGGGUCAGUUACUUUUCAGAAUUUAUAGUCCAAGUUUUAAAAGGAAAACAUUUUUCUGUGGCAAACAAGAAAAGUGGGCACAUUGGCUCGUGCGUCACUGGUAUUUACAUGGUCAAGUUCAAGGCCAAAUUUACAAACCUGAGCUGAUAAAAAUUUAGAAAUAGAAAAUCCCACGUUAAAUUUUAACAUUCGUCUUUUCCCCGGGAACCUAACAACGACCAAAAUCAAGCCAGAAAUUUCUAACCAAGGCCACGACCCUUGAGAGGAAAGCUGAUGCAUUUUAUUUCAAUUGGGUCUGCAAGCAUUACACUGAUUUUGAGACUAAAAAUAGAUCUAGAUCUACUAUAUUUUGCCUACAUUUUUAAAAUGAGAAUUCUUUUUCAAACUAUGUAUAAUGAAUGUAUAUAAAGCUAGAUUGAGGAGUUGUAUGGUUUUUGUAACAAAUUUCACAAUGUGUUUAUUAAUAUUUAAUAUUAAUAUUAGACAUUGAUUUUUAAAAAUGAAAUUAAAUAACCAAUAGAUACUCAAACAAAUAGGAAACAGUGGUGUAGUGGUUUUAGAACCCUCACCCUUUCCACUAGAGUCCUAUAAAGUACAGAUGUAUAAUGGAAAGUUAUUAGAUGUAUAUGUAUUUAAAAAUGACAACACAGCCCCACAUCCCCUAGCUACUGUGAGUCAAACAAUUGAGGGUUCUGAAUACUAGGUAACAAAAUAUCCCUGACAUCAGAGAGUAGCAUCUAUAUGUUACUCUCUGAUGGGUGUAAGAUGUGUAGUCUACUCUCUGAUGGGAGUGUAAGAUGUGUAGGCUACUCUCUGAUGGGAGUGUAUGAUGUGUAGGCUACUCUCUGAUGGGAGUGUAAGAUGUGUAGGCUACUCUCUGAUGGGAGUGUAAGAUGUGUAGGCUACUCUAUGAUGGGAGUGUAAGAUGUGUAGGCUACUCUCUGAUGGGAGUGUAAGAUGUGUAGGCUACUCUCUGAUUGUCAGAUGUUGUGUCUAAUAAAUGUAUGAUACCCAAAAGUGAAAUGCAUUAUUUUUUGCAAACAUAAAAUGAUCACACACCAUAGAAAAAAUAUGCUACAUCUAAAUAUCUUUGCAGUAGUACAUUUGUCAGGCUUGUAGAGAAGAAGAAAAUUUACUUCAUCACCAAACAACUUGGGAAUAGUUUCUUCUAUAAAGAUGUAAUUAUUACACUUAAAUAA